AACGAACGCUGGCGGCAUGCCUAACACAUGCAAGUCGAACGGGAUCCAGGCUUCGGCCUGGUGAGAGUGGCGGACGGGUGAGUAACACGUGGGAACCUGCCUUUUGGUUCGGGAUAACCGCGGGAAACUGCGGCUAAUACCGGAUGCUCCCGAGAGGGGAAAGAUUUAUCGCCAGAAGAGGGCCCGCGUCCGAUUAGGUAGUUGGUGAGGUAAUGGCUCACCAAGCCGACGAUCGGUAGCUGGUCUGAGAGGAUGAUCAGCCACACUGGGACUGAGAUACGGCCCAGACUCCUACGGGAGGCAGCAGUGGGGAAUAUUGGACAAU
This 325-nucleotide ribosomal RNA is filed under the name uncultured bacterium. RNAcentral's name for it is "bacterial SSU rRNA". It matches the Rfam family "Bacterial small subunit ribosomal RNA", at positions 29 to 372 of the family's 1533-position model. The record is from RNAcentral.